This 254-nucleotide long non-coding RNA is filed under the name Vitis vinifera (wine grape). RNAcentral's name for it is "long non-coding RNA (VVIN_LNC006550)". The record is from RNAcentral. Lineage: Eukaryota; Viridiplantae; Streptophyta; Magnoliopsida; Vitales; Vitaceae.
AAGAAAGGAAGGAGGAGAAUUUUCCUUUUUGGAAACAAAUUUAGGUCUUGAGGGGUGAUAUAUAUAGGUGAGAAAAGGAAAAGAAUGGGGAGAUUUUUUUUGGGGGGCAGAGCACACGGAAUUUUGGAAAAAAACAAGGGACUUCGAACGGAGAUCGGGCUGUCAUUUAAUCAUCAAGAGAGGAUUUUCUCUUUGACUUCAAAGGUUAGUUUUCUAUAUAGUACUUUUAUUUAGCUUAUUUCUUUAGUUUAAAU